GACAGCGGUGUUAUCACCUGAUGGGGCUGAUCUCUUUGGAUCUCGGGAGGCAAGCAAGGCUGAGCCUGGGCAGUGCUGGGAUGGGAGACCUCUGAGGAUAACUGGGUGGCUGCUGUAC
This 118-nucleotide ribosomal RNA is filed under the name Lepisosteus oculatus (spotted gar). The record is from RNAcentral. Lineage: Eukaryota; Metazoa; Chordata; Actinopteri; Semionotiformes; Lepisosteidae.